This 245-nucleotide unclassified non-coding RNA is filed under the name Glomus sp. Its description in RNAcentral is "partial contains 5.8S ribosomal RNA and internal transcribed spacer 2". The stretch from base 1 to 65 matches the Rfam family "5.8S ribosomal RNA", at positions 84 to 154 of the family's 154-position model. The record is from RNAcentral. Lineage: Eukaryota; Fungi; Glomeromycota; Glomeromycetes; Glomerales; Glomeraceae.
GUGAAUCAUCGAAUUUUUGAACGCAAAUUGCACUCUCUUCGGAGAGUAUGCCUGUUUGAGGGUCAGCCUAAAAAAAAAUCGACAUAGUCGCUGUUUCGCGGUUUCUUUCGUCGGAAAUUGGGUCAUCUUUAACCUUUGUGUUUUAAGUGGCUUAAACUUUUCUUUACGAUUUCAUGAACGUCUCUUAGAUUUUCUUUUUUUACGUUUAAGGUAUCGAUCUUUAUUAGACGUGGCCGUUGCUUUGG